CACGCCUGGUAGGAGAGCGUUCUGUAGGCCGAUGAAGGGGCGCCGUAAGGCUUCCUGGAGGCAUCAGAAGUGAGAAUGCAGGAAUGAGUAGCGAGAAGGAGGGCGAGAAUCCCUCCGGCCGGAAGUCCAAGGUUUCCAGGGGAAGGUUUGUCCGCCCUGGGGGAGUCGGGACCUAAGCAUAAGCAGAGCUGCGAAGGCGAAUGGAAAACAGGUUAAUAUUCCUGUACCGCUGUGGACUGACUGAGAGAUGGAGUGACGCAGGAAGGUAUGCGGGAAGGCUGACGGAAUAGCCUUUCUAAGGGUGAAGCGUGGACAUAUAGGCAAAUCCGUAUGUUUAAACGUGAGGCCUGACGGGUAAGUGCAUUAUGGCAUAAGCCGCAGAUCCUACACUGCCGGGAAAAACUUCUAUUUAGGGAAGCAGUGCCCGUACUGUAAACCGACACAGGUGGACAGAGUGAGAAACUUAAGGCCGACAGGACAACUCUGGCUAAGGAACUCUGCAAAAUGGCCCCGUAACUUCGGGAGAAGGGGUACCCGUGUUAACUGAAGAGAGAGACACUUGGAGGUGAAGCGGGUCGCAGUGAAGAGUCCCAAGCAACUGUUUACCAAAAACACAGGUCUAUGCUAAGCUGAAAGGCGACGUAUAUGGGCUGACACCUGCCCAGUGCCGGAAGGUUAAGAGGAGGAGUGAGAGCUCCAAUUUGAAGCCCCGGUGAACGGCGGCCGUAACUAUAACGGUCCUAAGGUAGCGAAAUUCCUUGUCGGGUAAGUUCCGACCUGCACGAAUGGUGAAAUGAUUUGGGAGCUGUCUUGGCUGGAGACCUGGUGAAGUUGUAAUGCCGGUGAAGAUACCGGCUACCUGCAGUAGGACGGAAAGACCCCGUGGAGCUUUACUGUAGUCUGGCAUUGGGUUCUGGCUGUGUGUGUAUAGGAUAGUUGGGAGACUGUGAAGUCAGGGCGUCAGCCUCGGCUGAGUCAUUGUUGGAAUACCAACCAUAUGCCGCCGGAAUUCUAAUCCGUAACCGGAGACAGUGCUAGAUGGGCAGUUUGACUGGGGCGGUCGCCUCCCAAAGAGUAACGGAGGCGUUCAAAGGUUCCCUCAGGCUGGAUGGAAAUCAGCCUAAGAGUGCAAACGCAUAAGGGAGCUUGACUGCAAGACUGACGGGUCGAGCAGGUACGAAAGUAGGAGUUAGUGAUCCGGCGGUUCCGUAUGGAAGGACCGUCGCUCAACGGAUAAAAGCUACCCCGGGGAUAACAGGCUGAUACUUCCCAAGAGUCCAUAUCGACGGAAGUGUUUGGCACCUCGAUGUCGGCUCGUCUCAUCCUGGGGCUGGAGAAGGUCCCAAGGGUUGGGCUGUUCGCCCAUUAAAGAGGCACGCGAGCUGGGUUCAGAACGUCGUGAGACAGUUCGGUCCCUAUCCACUG
RNAcentral lists this ribosomal RNA (1425 nucleotides) under metagenome. RNAcentral describes it as "bacterial LSU rRNA". It matches the Rfam family "Bacterial large subunit ribosomal RNA", at positions 1220 to 2647 of the family's 2925-position model. The record is from RNAcentral.